RNAcentral lists this ribosomal RNA (502 nucleotides) under uncultured bacterium. RNAcentral describes it as "partial 16S ribosomal RNA". It matches the Rfam family "Bacterial small subunit ribosomal RNA", at positions 30 to 522 of the family's 1533-position model. The record is from RNAcentral.
AUUGAACGCUGGCGGCAGGCCUAACACAUGCAAGUCGAACGGUAGCACAGAGAGCUUGCUCUCGGGUGACGAGUGGCGGACGGGUGGGUAAUGUCUGGGAAACUGCCCGAUGGAGGGGGAUAACUACUGGAAACGGUAGCUAAUACCGCAUAACGUCGCAAGACCAAAGUGGGGACCUUCGGGCCUCACACCAUCGGAUGUGCCCAGAUGGGAUUAGCUAGUAGGUGGGGUAAUGGCUCACCUAGGCGACGAUCCCUAGCUGGUCUGAGAGGAUGACCAGCCACACUGGAACUGAGACACGGUCCAGACUCCUACGGGAGGCAGCAGUGGGGAAUAUUGCACAAUGGGCGCAAGCCUGAUGCAGCCAUGCCGCGUGUAUGAAGAAGGCCUUCGGGUUGUAAAGUACUUUCAGCGGGGAGGAAGGCGGUGGAGUUAAUAACUUCACCGAUUGACGUUACCCGCAGAAGAAGCACCGGCUAACUCCGUGCCAGCCGCCGCCUAA